RNAcentral lists this ribosomal RNA (468 nucleotides) under uncultured bacterium. RNAcentral's name for it is "partial 16S ribosomal RNA". It matches the Rfam family "Bacterial small subunit ribosomal RNA", at positions 28 to 507 of the family's 1533-position model. The record is from RNAcentral.
GACGAACGCUGGCGGCGUGCUUAACACAUGCAAGUCGAACGGAAAGGCCCUGCUUUUGUGGGGUGCUCGAGUGGCGAACGGGUGAGUAACACGUGAGUAACCUGCCCUUGACUUUGGGAUAACUUCAGGAAACUGGGGCUAAUACCGGAUAGGAGCUCCUGCUGCAUGGUGGGGGUUGGAAAGUUUCGGCGGUUGGGGAUGGACUCGCGGCUUAUCAGCUUGUUGGUGGGGUAGUGGCUUACCAAGGCUUUGACGGGUAGCCGGCCUGAGAGGGUGACCGGCCACAUUGGGACUGAGGGACGGCCCAGACUCCUACGGGAGGCAGCAGUGGGGAAUAUUGCACAAUGGGCGGAAGCCUGAUGCAGCAGCGCCGCGUGCGGGAUGACGGCCUUCGGGUUGUAAACCGCUUUCGCCUGUGACGAAGCGUGAGUGACGGUAAUGGGUAAAGAAGCACCGGCUAACUACGUG